RNAcentral lists this long non-coding RNA (3491 nucleotides) under Olea europaea (common olive). Its description in RNAcentral is "long non-coding RNA (OEUR_LNC013581)". The record is from RNAcentral. Lineage: Eukaryota; Viridiplantae; Streptophyta; Magnoliopsida; Lamiales; Oleaceae.
CCUGUAAAAACUGCCUCGUAUCCUAUGAACUUUUCACUUUCUUCACAAAAAAAAUCUCACUAAUGGCAGGCAAAGCAAAAGCUCCCAUCGUCGGCCACUGUGGACUGAUAGAGUUCGUCCCGUAUUCUGGCGGGGUGAGUUCAAACAAGAGGGGAAGAAACGAAUCCUGCGAACUGGAAAAUACUACGAAAACUGUCGUCAAAGACUACGGAGGAGGGGUUUCAACAAAGUUCUCACAGAAGCAGAAGGCCGGAGACUUUUACCAUAAAAGCAACGGAAACUAUGGGUUCAAAGAAGAGGUUAAGUAUGAAUCCAGCGUCAAGUUUGAUGACAAGAUUCAAGGUUCCAGCACUGAGUACCAGACCCAAGUCAAGUUCAAGAAAGUCACUACCUAUGCCAACAAAGUGGCUCCAAAAUCAAGCUAUAAGCGUAUUAAAUAUAAUAAGUAUUAGAAUGAUGUUUUUAAAUAAUAUGUUUACUUCUCGUAUUCUAGCCUAAAUGAGAACUCAUUGCUAUCUGAGUUUUCGAUUAAGUUCUGUUUUCUUGUUGCAAGUUCUAAUCUAGAUGAAAACUCAAUUCAUGUUUUGAGUUUUCUUCUUUUGAAGUAAAUAUAUGUUGGUUUGAACUCAUGUUUAUGAAUAUUUUCUUAGUUGAUGAAUUUGUUCACGUCUUACGAAUUUAAAUCGAUAGAACGCAACCUCCAUUUUUAUAGUGCAGUUGAAAUAUUGUAUUUGAUGUUGAGCGAAGUGCAAGCAAAAGAUAAGAAGAUCUAAAGGCGAUGAGUAAAUGACAGGCAAUGUCAGGUUUGACAGUCUGCUACAUACCACAAUGGUCACUUAACUAUGCUAUUGUUCUUAUGUUGAUCUUUAAAAUGUUGACAAGUUAUUAUUUGAUAAUCGAAAUUUGAAAUGUUAUUUGAUAUCCAUUUAAAUUUAAACAAAAUUAUUCAUCAAAAUUAAUAAUCUUUAUUCAAAUUUAGGUGAGCAAGGAAUAAAAUAUUUAAAGAUUCACAAUUCUAUAGUAAAGUUUGACGACCAUUCUGAUUUAAAACUUCCACGCGUGUUGUUGCCAAAACUGACGAAGUGGGAGCGCCGUAUCACCGGAAUUUACGCUCUUAAAUACGGUUAAUUGUACUAUGGAGGGAAAGGUGAAGGGUUGUAACUGAAAUUGUGACUGGAAAAUAAAAAGAAAAAGGGGUUACAUUUUAGGAUUGGUUUGAUUGUAAAGAUUGAAUUGAAAACAAAUUUCAGGCAAUUGAAUUGUUUAUAAAUUAUUUUUCUGAAAAUUGUAAAUUAUUGUGUUUAAUUGGUAUAAUUUUUUACGUGAAAAAUGUUGAAAUAAAAGUGUUUUUUGCUAUUCGUUUGAUUUUGUUUUAUAUGAAAAUUGUCAAUUAAAGGGAUAUAUUUUACUGGUACUGGGAAUGAAAUUUGUUUUCAUUACCCAAAAAAAAAAAAAUUUCAAGAAAUUCAAAAAAAUCAUCUAUCUUUUGCUGUUCGUUUGACUUUAUUUUACAUGAAAAUUAUCAGUUAAAGGAAAAUAUUUUUUUACAAUAAUUCUUAAAAUUUAUUUCCAUUGCUUAAAAAAAACUAGCCAAAUCUUAGGAUUUUGGAAGAGGGGAGACUUGGGGAAGUGAAAAAAAUAACGAAAUAAAAAAAAAAUAACGAAAUAAACUUACUCUAUAGCACUGGACUCUGAAGUGUGGUGGGCAAAUGGGAAUGGGGAAAAUAAGAGAGAAAUGGACAGGCUCGUUGUCGGCGAGUUGGGUCAGAGUGAAGAUUGAGAGACUGAGAGUGAGAGUUAAGAGGACUUAGUUUAGGGCUUCUUUUAUUUUUUCAUUCCCCCGCCUUCAUUUCUUUUAUUUUUUUUAUUUUUAUUUUUUUGUAUUCGGGUCGAGUUAUAUCAGGUUUUCCAUUUUUUACCCAUAACUCGACUCACAUCGACCCACACCUAUCCAACCCAAGCAUUUAAUGCUGGUUGACAUUUCUCUACGUUGAUUGACAUGAAUAGUGAUAUGGACAAUUUUGAAUUCUUGUGUGAAAAUAAUAUUUCUAACAGGGGUAUUUUCGUCUACAUAAUUCGAAAAUGGACAUUGACAAAAUUGUGGACAUUUUGGCAAAUGACUCGCUGAAAAUGGACAUUACGUGAAAUUUCCUCUAUUUAUUCUAUUAAAUUUUAUAAAUUUCUGAUUUUGAUUGUCAAUAUGGGCAAUUUUAUAAAUUGAAAAAUGACCUCAUACACAAACUAUAGACGCAAUUAAGACUGUGGAUGCAAUAUAUAUGAUGAAGUGUUUGCUCGAUAAAAGUUUUGUUUAUUAGAAAAUUAAUCAAACCUAGUCAUCCAUUAUUUUGUCAUUUCAUUGACCCAUCAAAUAUUAGCAACAUCGUAGUGUCGAAAAACUUUUAUAUAAAAUGUAAAAUGUAUUUUUCUUUAAGCGGCCUAAUAGUCCCAACUUAAAUUAACGCGUGAAGGAGCAUUGGGCUUCCUUUCAGAAGCAUUAAGUGGGCUAGAAAGAUAGCCCAAGUCCAGAGGCUUGUUGUACCACGUCCACUUAACAUCUAUUAAAUAGAAAAUUGACGCAAAUAACACUGUAAUGAAAGCAAUAAUGACUUGUAAGCGAUUUUGUGUGGGUCAGUGGAGGGCCACUUAGUGGGGUCAACCGGACCCAAUAAAUUUUUAAUUUUUCCUGGGUUAAAUUCUCCAAUGACCACUCAACUUUAUACUUAGUUUUACUAUGUCACCCAUUUUGAUUUGUUUCACUAUAACCACCUAACUUUAUUUCUGAUGUCAACAUGGCCACAUAGUUUGAUUUUAUUUCAUUAUGACCACCCAAUCUUAUAUAAAGUCUGUUUGGUUUGAAUUAAAAUUUAUUUUUAAUUUAAAUCAAAGUCAAAUAAUUAAUAUUAACUAUAUCUUUUAUAAGUCCCACAAUUUUUUAACCGCACAUUUUUAAACUUCUAUCAUAAUAUAUUAAAAAAAAAAGUAAUUUUCAUCCAUAUCAAACAUCCUCACAACGUUUCACUCUGACCACCCAAUUUCAUAUCAUGUUUUACCAUGACCAUCCAACUUCCUUUCAUCAUAUUUCACUAAUUUAAAACGAGCAAAACGGUAGCUUUGCACUAUAUAUAAAAUAAAAUAAAAACCUAUUUCAAAAGACUUUAUUUAAAAAUGUAAAAUAAAAUAAAAAAAUAUUUUUAAAAAUUUAUUUAAAAAAAUAAAAAUUUAUUUUAAUAAAAAAGUUCCUUAAAAAAUAAAAUAAAAACUUAUUUUUAAAAACUGGUUUUUAAAAUAAAAACUUAUUUUAAAAAAGUUACAUGGAAAAAUAAUAUAAAAUAAAAAAUUAUUUAAAAAUUAUUUUGAAAAUAGAAAAAAAAACUUUUAUUUUUUUAAAAAUUUAUUUUAUAUAUAUAAUGCAAAAUUACCAUUUUAUCUCAUUUAAAAUAGUAAAAAUGAUAAAAAGAAAUUGGGUGACCAUGAUGAAACGUUAUAUAAAA